UACGAAGGGGGCUAGCGUUGUUCGGAUUUACUGGGCGUAAAGCGCACGUAGGCGGAUAUUUAAGUCAGGGGUGAAAUCCCGGGGCUCAACCCCGGAACUGCCUCUGAUACUGGGUAUCUGGAGUCCGGAAGAGGUGAAUGGAAUUCCUGGUGUAGCGGUGGAAUGCGCAGAUAUCAGGAGGAACACCAAUAGCGAAGGCAGCUCGCUGGGACGGUACUGACGCUGAGGCGCGAAAGCGUGGGGAGCAAACAGG
This 253-nucleotide ribosomal RNA is filed under the name uncultured bacterium. RNAcentral describes it as "partial 16S ribosomal RNA". It matches the Rfam family "Bacterial small subunit ribosomal RNA", at positions 524 to 776 of the family's 1533-position model. The record is from RNAcentral.